This 497-nucleotide ribosomal RNA is filed under the name uncultured bacterium. RNAcentral's name for it is "partial 16S ribosomal RNA". It matches the Rfam family "Bacterial small subunit ribosomal RNA", at positions 28 to 507 of the family's 1533-position model. The record is from RNAcentral.
GAUGAACGCUGGCGGCGUGCCUAAUACAUGCAAGUCGAGCGAACGGACGAGAAGCUUGCUUCUCUGAUGUUAGCGGCGGACGGGUGAGUAACACGUGGAUAACCUACCUAUAAGACUGGGAUAACUUCGGGAAACCGGAGCUAAUGCCGGAUAAUAUUUUGAACCGCAUGGUUCAAAAGUGAAAGACGGUCUUGCUGCCACUUAUAGAUGGAUCCGCGCUGCAUUAGCUAGUUGGUAAGGUAACGGCUUACCAAGGCAACGAUGCAUAGCCGACCUGAGAGGGUGAUCGGCCACACUGGAACUGAGACACGGUCCAGACUCCUACGGGGGGCAGCAGUAGGGAAUCUUCCGCAAUGGGCGAAAGCCUGACGGAGCAACGCCGCGUGAGUGAUGAAGGUCUUCGGAUCGUAAAACUCUGUUAUUAGGGAAGAACAUAUGUGUAAGUAACUGUGCACAUCUUGACGGUACCUAAUCAGAAAGCCACGGCUAACUACGUG